RNAcentral lists this long non-coding RNA (2499 nucleotides) under Pan troglodytes (chimpanzee). Its description in RNAcentral is "long non-coding RNA NONPTRT002211". The record is from RNAcentral. Lineage: Eukaryota; Metazoa; Chordata; Mammalia; Primates; Hominidae.
UUAAGACGCUGUCAUUUUUCAGAAGAACCCAGCUUGCUUUGGAACUACAGUCAGCCCUGCAACUCACCCUCACCUUGGACCCUGCUGCUGCUGUCUGUAAAGACAAUGCUGCGAUGAAUACACCUGUGCAUUCUUUUUUAGAACGAGUGUAAGGAUUCCUAUGUGCUGUAAAUAGAAUCCAGCAUUUGUAUUGUCACCAGAGAGCACAGCUGUAUUGGUGAAGAGCCUUUACACAGAGGACACCCAUGACCCAGGGCACGGGCAGCUCUCAAGGCCCACCUACCAGUCCUGACUCAUCACCUCCAGCUCGGAUCAUCAUCUGCCCCAGCCCUGUUGGGUCAACCCUAAUCUGCAGCCCAGUACCUGCUUUCUGGAGGGGAGAAAUCAAAUCCUUGCUUCCAGGCUGCCAUCCCCAGCCCCCCGUCCAGUGCCCAAGGAAAGCCAGGAGGAGCAAAACUUACCAUCAAGGCCAGCGUCCGGAUCUCCUAAAAAACCAACACCAGGCAAUCAGUUGAAGAGCAAACCAAGAGUCAACUGGAAGGUUCUCACUGCACAGUCAUGGAAACAUGGGAGCUAGGCCCCUCAAAGGAGCGUGGGUCGAGGGAGACGCUUGCAGGUGGGCUCCAUGGCCCCCAGACUCACACCACCCCCACCCCACCUCUCGCUGAGGUUUGUAAUCACUGGAGAGAGAAUACAUAGCAUCUCCUAAGCAUGAUUAUACUCUGAGGCCGUCCUACAAUGGACUCAGGCACACCCUAAAUGGACUGCAACCUUUACUUCACUUUACUGAAGGGAAGGAAGCACCACCUCUUAUUCUUUCUAGUCACCUUCUGAGGACCCUCCCUUGUUCUUUCCUCUUCUCCCAGAACCCAGAUUUCAAAGUUGCUACGCACCUCCCUUUAAACAGACACAGUAUAGCAAAAUAUGGAACCACUCAAAAAAUAGAUCAGGGAGAUGAUUGUUGGCUUUAAAAGAGGAUUUUACACCUUGUAAAUGGAGUCACAUAUGGACACAGACUCCUUUGAAGAAGUGGUUCUUGAGCAGGGGCAAUUUCUUCCCCCAAGGGAUAAUUGGUCAUGUCUGGAGACAUAGUUUGGUUGUCACAGCUGAGGCUCCGGUGCUACUGGCAUCUAGCAGGUAGAGACUGGGGACGCUGCUGCACAUCCUACAACACACAGGACCGCCUCUCCCCCCACCACAAAGAUUCUCCAGCCUCAAAUGUCAACAGUGCCAAGGCUGAGAAACCCUGCUUUAAAGGGUGGGGAGCGGGAGCUCAUGAACUUGAAACAGGGUUAAACUGACACGAAAGGAGAUGCGUUCCAGGAAGAUUUUCUGCUGCAUGAAAGGGGGUUAUACAUGCAUUAAAGAAAUGGGGCCCCAGCACCCUGGAUGGGCCGUAACUUGUGGGGUGCCAGGAUAAUUCCACUAUGGCACUCAGGGGCCCUGAGGCAGGAUAACUGGCCAGCUGGGCCCAGACAGAGAGCCCCGGCCACCUGGAUGCCAGUAAUGGGGCCAUUUCCCAGGAGGCUACACAGCGGGAGGUCAAAGGAGAGAGAGCGAGGAAGCAGCUCUCCUGGAAGCGCUGCCUGAGGGCCUGAGGGCAGGGCCCCUACUCGGCUGUGUGGAAGGGCCCCCUGAUCAGGGCAUGGUGCAGAGCCUGAGAUCCAUGAGGAUCUUGGCCUCUGGGCUGGACCCUGCUCACCUGGAGAGCCUCAUUGAUGUUUCCAUUGUAAUCCACCAUCUCUCCUUUCCCCGGUUCUCCCUUGGAGCCCUAGAAGGCAAAUGAGAUCUCAACCCAGGGCCUGGACCAGGAGGGCCGGGAGGGCAACUGUGGCCUGCUCUCUAUCAGCCCACACUGGCUGCACCUGGCUGCACAUGGGUGGACCCAGAACAGCCAGCGGGGCCCUGGGGAUUCUGAACACUCUCAGAGGAUGCUCGGGGAUUGCAGAACAAAUCGAGAAGACUCCAUGUGAGAAGUCUGGGCUAGGCCGACCUGGGAAGAUUGGGUCCACCUGUGCUGCCAGUCAGACCUCCCACCUGAGGGCCAGAAUGCUCUUCCCCUCCUUCCUCGUCAAGACCCCAAGGUCAAGCCUGUGAAAGGGACAUAAAAACUUGGGACCCCAGUUCACUCUGCCAAAAGAAAAAAAGUUCAGCUGAAAGCUGAGUCAUGCAAGAAGCUGCCUUUCCUUUUGUUCCUAAUCAGACAGCUACAGAUAAAAGGUUAAAUAUCCCCACAGGUAGCUGCUCCAUGUUCACCACAGCUUACAUAAAGUGCCGAUUUACUGAGUGUGAGACUAAUACACAAUCAACUAUUCCGCUACUUGCUCCUUUUCCCUUGCAGUGUGUGGAUUACCAUACCCUUCCUCUUUCCCCUCCAGCCUGCUUUUCCCCUUUAAAUAUUGAAGCCCUCAAAAUCAUCUUUGGCAAAAGGCACAGACCUGUCUCUUGGGCACGUGCCCUUAACCUUGGCAAAAUAAACUUCUAAAUAUUAAUUGAGAC